RNAcentral lists this ribosomal RNA (400 nucleotides) under phytoplankton environmental sample. RNAcentral describes it as "partial small subunit ribosomal RNA". It matches the Rfam family "Eukaryotic small subunit ribosomal RNA", at positions 587 to 987 of the family's 1831-position model. The record is from RNAcentral.
AGCUCCAAUAGCGUAUAUUAAAGUUGUUGCGGUUAAAAAGCUCGUAGUUGGAUCUCGGCAGGCAGGGGGUGGUUCGCUCCUUAGCGCUACUGCCCCAUUUGCCUGUGUGAUUGGCAGAGGUUUCGGGGUGCCCUUUAUUGAGUGACCCGGAGCGCUGUCAGGUUUACUUUGAAAAAAUUAGAGUGCUCAAAGCAGGCUUUUCACGCUUGAAUAUUCGUGCAUGGAAUAAUUGAAUAGGAACUCGUUUCUAUUUUGUUGGUUUUCGGAAAUCGAGUUAAUGAUUAAUAGGGACAAUUGGGGGCAUUAGUAUUCAGACGACAGAGGUGAAAUUCUUGGACCGUCUGAAGACUAACUACUGCGAAAGCAUUUGCCAAGAGUGUUUUCAUUAAUCAAGAACGAA